GCAGCGAAGUCGUGAGGCGGAGCAAAUCUCGAAAACCGGUCCCAGUUCGGACUGCAGGCUGCAACUCGCCUGCACGAAGCCGGAGUUGCUAGUAAUCGCGGAUCAGAAUGCCGCGGUGAAUACGUUCCCGGGCCUUGUACACACCGCCCGUCAAGCCAUGGGAGCCGGGGGUACCUGAAGUGCGUAACCGCGAGGAGCGCCCUAGGGUAAAACUGGUGACUGGGGCUAAGUCGUAACAAGGUAAC
This 245-nucleotide ribosomal RNA is filed under the name uncultured bacterium. Its description in RNAcentral is "partial 16S ribosomal RNA". It matches the Rfam family "Bacterial small subunit ribosomal RNA", at positions 1246 to 1500 of the family's 1533-position model. The record is from RNAcentral.